UGAGCCUGGGAGGUUGAGGCUGUGGUGAGGACCAUGGAUAUUUGGCCAUUUCUUCAUAUUACUUACUUGUGCCUCAGGGCCUGUUCAGACCCAGUCCCAUACACAUCACCCCGUCUGAUGAUGGAGUGCUGCUGUGUACACCCAACUUUAUGGCUUGGUGGGUCAGAUAACACUUCAUGAUGUGCAGCUCAGGCUACAUGGUAAUUUGGUCACCCACAGUUAAGUGUUCAGCCUUGACUAAGGCUCAGUAGGAGGCCGAGAGCUUUCUCAACAAGACAGAAGUUAUCUGUGCAGGACUGCGGGCUUUACUUCAAAAUCUCAAGUGUUAAUUGGUCUGGAGCAACACACCAAAAUGAGAAUAUGUUGCCUCCAGAAUCCAAAGAGGCCCAGUAGGCAUCGUGCCUCUUUUUUGGUUGUAUGAGGGGCCAGAUGCAAGAAUUUAUCUUUCACUUUGCAAGGGAUGUUUGGAUGUUUCCCAUACCACUGUACCCCUAGAAAUAUCACUGACGUAGGGCUGGGCACGGUGGCUCAUGCCUGUAA
This 540-nucleotide long non-coding RNA is filed under the name Homo sapiens (human). Its description in RNAcentral is "HSALNT0296585". Lineage: Eukaryota; Metazoa; Chordata; Mammalia; Primates; Hominidae. The record is from RNAcentral.